CCGGCGACCGGCGCACGGGUGAGUAACACGUAUGCAACCUGCCCUCCGCAGGGGGAUAACCCGGAGAAAUCCGGACUAAUACCGCGUGGUACACCAGUGGGGCAUCCCACUGGUGUUAAAAGGAAGUGAUUCCGGCGGAGGAUGGGCAUGCGGCGCAUUAGGCAGUAGGCGGGGUAACGGCCCACCUAACCGACGAUGCGUAGGGGUUCUGAGAGGAAGGUCCCCCACAUUGGAACUGAGACACGGUCCAAACUCCUACGGAAGGCAGCAG
Molecule: ribosomal RNA, 271 nt
Filed under: uncultured bacterium
Lineage: Bacteria
Description: partial 16S ribosomal RNA
Rfam family: Bacterial small subunit ribosomal RNA
Source: RNAcentral